GCGUCGGCUGGGCAUUGGCGAGCCCAAGUGGCUGUAACCCACCCGCUUCCGAGCUGUGGCGGUUCAACUCCGUCCCGACGCAC
Molecule: transfer RNA, 83 nt
Filed under: Rubinisphaera italica
Lineage: Bacteria; Pseudomonadati; Planctomycetota; Planctomycetia; Planctomycetales; Planctomycetaceae
Description: Planctomycetes bacterium Pan54 tRNA-Tyr
Source: RNAcentral